UAGCGGGGUAGUGCCCGGAUGGUGUGACGCGAAAUGUAUUGUCUUCGGUCAUGAUCGGUCGCGGUUGAUUUGAACGCCAGUCAGUUGGAGUGUGAACUGGGUAGAAGAUCAUCGGAACACUUUCUCCGAUUUCAAACAUAAAAUGCCUUCGAUAUUUCGGUAAUCAAGUCAAAACUGCUGCAGCAGAAGCGGUGAUGUACCAUGAGGCCGGCCUAUGAGAUGUGGUAGCGAGAAUGGUUGGUGUCAGUCUGCACAAGGACGAGGACGCAGUGCUAAGUUUGCACCGAUAGAAUGACCAAUUGCAUUCCCCGCGACUGACUCGCGGCAUCAUUCCAUCGAUGUAACAAGUCCCCUGUCCUACUUCUCCAACCCACGGGACGAGGCCGCCAUGGAGACGAAAGUUAACUGUGGAUCAAGGGCACUCAUAUAUCAGGAUGAAUACGUGUAACAGUUUUAAAUGCCCCAGGAUGGAGUGUUCCGGGAAAGAAUGAUUGAUUUGCGCUUGAAGGUCAAGAGUCUCAGUAGACCCAUACCUUAGCCUGACAACAAUGAAUUAGGAAGGACACUUUUUCCAGAUGAACAUUCAAAAAUGCUACACCGGUACGAGAGCCUGCUGUCACCGGAGUUAGAGCCUGCUGAACAAUCUUUUGUAGAACAUCUCUCAAUAAUGUUUGUAUAUCGACAGAUCAAGACACCAUUGUGUCAGUAAGAUGAACAUAUCAUAUGAAGAAUGGAAA
Long non-coding RNA from Lineus longissimus, 737 nucleotides. RefSeq lists it as uncharacterized. The record is from RefSeq and is a predicted model, not a curated record. Lineage: Eukaryota; Metazoa; Nemertea; Pilidiophora; Heteronemertea; Lineidae. The transcript is spliced from 3 exons.